UAGGAAAUCGCUAGCCAGUGAGUGCCAC
This 28-nucleotide small RNA is filed under the name Bombyx mori (domestic silkworm). Its description in RNAcentral is "ovarian small RNA-22611". The record is from RNAcentral. Lineage: Eukaryota; Metazoa; Arthropoda; Insecta; Lepidoptera; Bombycidae.